This 917-nucleotide ribosomal RNA is filed under the name uncultured archaeon. RNAcentral's name for it is "bacterial SSU rRNA". It matches the Rfam family "Archaeal small subunit ribosomal RNA", at positions 1 to 918 of the family's 1478-position model. The record is from RNAcentral.
UUCCGGUUGAUCCUGCCGGAGGUCACUGCUAUUGGGAUUCGGCUAAGCCAUGCAAGCAGAGGGCGCGGUCGAAAGAUCGUGGCCCCGCACACUGCUCAGUAACACGUAGUCAACCUACCCUUGGGACGGGGACAACCUCGGGAAACUGAGGCUAAUACCCGAUAGGUGAGGGACGCUGGGAUGCCUCCUCGCCCAAAGCUCCGGCGCCCAAGGAUGGGACUGCGGUCUAUCAGGCUGUUGGUGGUGUAACGGACCACCAAACCUACGACGGGUACGGGCGAUGGGAGUCGGAGCCCGGAGAUGGGGACUGAGACAAGGCCCCAGGCCCUACGGGGCGCAGCAGGCGCGAAAACUCCGCAAUGCGCGCAAGCGUGACGGGGGGAUCCCAAGUGCCGUUGGUCUUUCGAUCGACGGUUUUUAGGAAGUCUAAGAAGCUUCCAGAAUAAGGGCUGGGCAAGACUGGUGCCAGCCGCCGCGGUAACACCAGCAGCCCGAGUGGUGGCCACGAUUAUUGGGCCUAAAGCGCUCGUAGCCGGAUCAGCAAGUCCCUUGUGAAAUCGGGCCGCCUAACGGUUCGGCGUGCAAGGGAUACUGUUGGUCUUGAGGCCGGGAGAGGUCGGAGGUACUCCUGGGGUAGCGGUGAAAUGCUCUAAUCCUAGGGGGACCACCAGUGGCGAAGGCGUCCGACCAGAACGGACCUGACGGUGAGGGGCGAAGGCUAGGGGAGCGAACGGGAUUAGAUACCCCGGUAGUCCUAGCUGUAAAGCAUGCGGGCCAGGUGUCUAGUGCUCCUUGAGGGCACUAGGUGCCGGAGGGAAGCCGUUAAGCCCGCCGCCUGGGAAGUACGGCGCAAGGCUGAAACUUAAAGAAAUUGGCGGGGAGCACACAGAGUGGGACCUGCGUCAUUGGAUCCACGC